AAGCACGAAAUUAAUGGAUAAAAUGUGAGGUAUUUUGAAAAGAACUUGACUUUGAAUCAAGGAUUUUUUGUUCUCUUUAAAAUAUCAUUUUUAAUCACCAAUUAAUUAUUUAAUUAGAUAAAACUAAGUAAAUAAAAAAGUUAAAAAUGAAAAUGAUAUGAGAUACAAUUAGUAAGAGAGUAAUGAGGAGUUAGUAAAACGUAUUGGGAAAAGCGCAAUAAAAAUCAC
This 228-nucleotide long non-coding RNA is filed under the name Lathyrus oleraceus (garden pea). Its description in RNAcentral is "Pisum sativum (pea) long non-coding RNA (PSAT_LNC023096)". Lineage: Eukaryota; Viridiplantae; Streptophyta; Magnoliopsida; Fabales; Fabaceae. The record is from RNAcentral.